This 832-nucleotide ribosomal RNA is filed under the name uncultured Bacteroidota bacterium. Its description in RNAcentral is "bacterial SSU rRNA". It matches the Rfam family "Bacterial small subunit ribosomal RNA", at positions 121 to 956 of the family's 1533-position model. Lineage: Bacteria; Pseudomonadati; Bacteroidota. The record is from RNAcentral.
GCAAUCUGCCUUUCACAGAGGGAUAGCCCAGAGAAAUUUGGAUUAAUACCUCAUAGUAUAAUCAAACCGCAUGGUUUGAUUAUUAAAGUCACAACGGUGAAAGAUGAGCAUGCGUCCCAUUAGCUAGUUGGUAAGGUAACGGCUUACCAAGGCUACGAUGGGUAGGGGUCCUGAGAGGGAGAUCCCCCACACUGGUACUGAGACACGGACCAGACUCCUACGGGAGGCAGCAGUGAGGAAUAUUGGUCAAUGGGCGCAAGCCUGAACCAGCCAUGCCGCGUGCAGGAUGACGGUCCUAUGGAUUGUAAACUGCUUUUGCACAGGAAGAAACACUUGCUCGUGAGCAAGCUUGACGGUACUGUGAGAAUAAGGAUCGGCUAACUCCGUGCCAGCAGCCGCGGUAAUACGGAGGAUCCAAGCGUUAUCCGGAAUCAUUGGGUUUAAAGGGUCCGUAGGCGGUCUUGUAAGCCAGUGGUGAAAGCCCAUCGCUCAACGGUGGAACGGCCAUUGAUACUGCAGGACUUGAAUUAUUGGGAAGUAACUAGAAUAUGUAGUGUAGCGGUGAAAUGCUUAGAGAUUACAUGGAAUACCAAUUGCGAAGGCAGGUUACUACCAAUUGAUUGACGCUGAUGGACGAAAGCGUGGGUAGCGAACAGGAUUAGAUACCCUGGUAGUCCACGCCGUAAACGAUGGAUACUAGCUGUUGGGCGCAAGUUCAGUGGCUAAGCGAAAGUGAUAAGUAUCCCACCUGGGGAGUACGUUCGCAAGAAUGAAACUCAAAGGAAUUGACGGGGGCCCGCACAAGCGGUGGAGCAUGUGGUUUAAUUCGAUG